AGUGAACGCUGGCGGUAGGCCUAACACAUGCAAGUCGAACGGCAGCACAGUGAGAGCUCGCUCUUACGGGUGGCGAGUGGCGGACGGGUGAGGAAUACAUCGGAAUCUACUUUUUCGUGGGGGAUAACGUAGGGAAACUUACGCUAAUACCGCAUACGACCUACGGGUGAAAGCAGGGGAUCUUCGGACCUUGCGCGAUUGAAUGAGCCGAUGUCGGAUUAGCUAGUUGGCGGGGUAAAGGCCCACCAAGGCGACGAUCCGUAGCUGGUCUGAGAGGAUGAUCAGCCACACUGGAACUGAGACACGGUCCAGACUCCUACGGGAGGCAGCAGUGGGGAAUAUUGGACAAUGGGCGCAAGCCUGAUCCAGCCAUACCGCGUGGGUGAAGAAGGCCUUCGGGUUGUAAAGCCCUUUUGUUGGGAAAGAAAAGCAGCAGGUUAAUACCCCGCUGUUCUGACGGUACCCAAAGAAUAAGCACCGGCUAACUUCGUG
This 492-nucleotide ribosomal RNA is filed under the name uncultured bacterium. RNAcentral's name for it is "partial 16S ribosomal RNA". It matches the Rfam family "Bacterial small subunit ribosomal RNA", at positions 29 to 507 of the family's 1533-position model. The record is from RNAcentral.